CUCGGCUCGUCGCAGAAUGUUGCUUACAUCAGAGCAAGGUUCGGCGCGUGGUAAGAUGUUAUCAGUUUCUACAAAGGCAAGCUCAGCGCGUGGCUUGAUGUCGUUACGUCGGAGCGUUGCUAAGCAGCUCAUACAAAGGCAACCUCGGCGCAGCGUUGCUAAGCAGUGAAAACGACAAUUUAACUCUAAAAGUCAUCACUGCUCAGAUGUUAUAAAAAAUUACAUUAGAGUACAAAAAAUGCUAAAAUCAGAACGUUUAAAGCUUAAAAUCUUAUCAUUAAAAAUAUUAUUACAAUUACACACAAGCGCAAUGUUUGAAAAGUCAUAUAGACAAAAUGCAAUAAAAGAAUUUUGACAGAGGACAACCCGUCAGUCUAAAGGUGAAUUUGGAAGAGGACGAUACAUAAAUCAAUAAUUCCGAGCUUUUCAACAAUGAUAUACACUUUCUUUGGUUAAUUAACAAUUAUGUUAAUAUUCUAAUUAACUUUUUUUUACAAUACAGGAAAAUGUAACCCUCGAAGUUACCACUGGUCAGGAGCUAUCAAAUAAUUACAUUGGAAUGAAAAAAAUGUUAAGUUAAUGUUAAUUAUUGAUAAUAAUAUAAGAUAUAAUUUUACAUAUUUUAAUUUCCUUUUCUUCUAUAUUUAUUUAAUUUCCUGUUAAAUGUUUAAAGUGCAAUCUUAAUCGUAGUUAAACAAAACCUUGUGAUCUUUCCGAUCGAAAUUCGAAAUUCGUCAUAAGGAACACUCAUUUAUCGAGUGUUUUUUUAUGUAAUUUCACGUUCGCGUAUUCGGAUAUAAGUAGGUAUAGUUAUGAAAAUGAAUGAGUUACCCUCGUCUACAAUGAAUCAUGAUUUUAUUUGUUAUAUAAUAUCUACAAUAAAAAUACCACAUCGUUUGAAAAACAAUUUUCAUUACAAUUAUACAGUAAUUUUAUAUAAUAAUAUAAUAUUUAGGUUUCCGUUCUAAAUUAGAUGUAGCGAUGAACAUACACCUCUCAAUGGGAGUGAGAAAAUACAUUCUUUUUGUUGCAAAUUUCACAUUCAUUUCUUCACUCACAAUCGAUAUUUCUCGCAAUCACCAUCUGCGUAGACACUCGAAACGAUGUCGGCAUACAUAAAUGUACUUAUUGAAUUUUCUCAUUUUGUCUCAUUUUUGUCUAAUACACAUUAUUUAUAUCCUGUAUAAUCCAAGAAAAAGACUUGCGUAUUAUUUCCUUGCUCGUUAUUAGGGGAAAUCCAAGAUAGUCGUAUCAAGUGUCUCGCCUUUUUUUUCUUUUUUUUUUUCUGAUUCCAGUGAUCACGGAAACAUUUUUCCGCUUGCUGAGAUUCAUAGAAAACUUGGACUAGAUAAUCCAACUUCGUCAUCUCGCAUCUUAGAACGUAAAUAUCUCCAUUUAUCUAAACUUAGCUACACUUACUUAAUAGUAGCGUAAUAUUAUCUCUCGUAUUAGUUGUCCAUAAUAUAUAGAAAAUACAUGUAACAAUUAUUUAAGUGACUCACAAUCAAUCAUUUUGUCGCGAUAUAUUAUUAUAUCAAUUAAUGUAUGUCGCGCUGAAUGUAUACAUACGCAUAGGUAUAUGUAGGAGGUGUGUUCAUGUUUGCUCAUAUCGAUAAUUACAUGAUAUUUUCUUUUUACACUUGUCGUAAAUAGGAAAGGAAAAGGAUUAUUUGCAAGGAGUUUCGCGAGGAUGGAAGAUUUAGUAGAAACGGGAAUAUACUUUUCCAUUUUUCAUGAUUAUCAAUCAUCUUUUCUUACUUUUUAUAGCAGCUAUCUAAGAAAAAAUAUUGAAAGUACCAUGCCUUGGGAGAUAAUAGCAAGUUUUUUUUUUUUUUAACUUAUUAUAUCUCCUCGUAAUAAUAUUUUAUGUGUAUCGUUUUAUUCGAACCUACUUAUUUACUUAUGUAAAUCUUCUUUCUUUUGAUUAAUUUCUUUUGUUAUGUCCUUCUUCG
This 1952-nucleotide long non-coding RNA is filed under the name Polistes dominula (European paper wasp). Its description in RNAcentral is "uncharacterized LOC107071161". The record is from RNAcentral. Lineage: Eukaryota; Metazoa; Arthropoda; Insecta; Hymenoptera; Vespidae.